UAUGGAUUUUUUUCUUGGCCACGAAAUCGCGGCGACCGUGUCGUAUAAAUCAGGAUUGAUUUUCAAAGGGAAUCAUGGGAGGUCGAGCCGCAGCCGCGAUGUCCCUUUUAGCUCCGCAUUUGUUUCCGGCGGUAAAUCUAUAUUUGGCUAAUCGAACCGACGCUACUGCACACCGCGCCGUUUCCGCUGCUUUUUCGGAAGCCGCGACCAAAAGAUCGCCGUUUCGACUUUUCACGCUUUCUGCCUUCCGUUAGUCAACAAACUUUUUCAACGUUACGUCGUUGAAUGCCCGAGAUUAUUCUUUAUGUGUAAUCCCGAGGAACGUGUAAUCCCCAUGGAAUCGGUAACUGAGCCGCUCUUACGGUCGAUGCACAAACUAGAUCGACGAUACUUAAACGGUAAAGCGUCCUAAUCCUCGUGAAACGCGCAGAGGCUAAUGAUCACAUGCAGCCUGCAGUGUACAUCGCAAUAAACUGGAUAUGGACAAGUAAUGCCUUCAUUGACAGCUUUUCGCUAAACGUUUCUAGCAGUUCUUUAAGGAGAUAGCCGUGAAGUAGGGAAACUGUGACCUGACAGGGCUCUCACCCUUCGCCAAACGAGUCCACCGCGUAUCAGCUUUCUCCGCGCCGCUAUAUUCGCAACACCAUAUACGUGGCCAUAGUAAAUCUUGGAUCUGACGUUUCGUAGAUGACACGCUCACGGUUUUCUUUUCGCCCCUUAAGAAGAGCGAAGAGCGGAGGUCCGUGAAACGUUGCGUGGCGCGUUAUUAAGGUCAGCCACCUGCCGCUCGAUGGAGCUCGCUUCAGGGAUGAACACUAUUAUACCCCUCUGUGCUAUAGGUAUACGUAACGGUGAACGUAAAGCAAAGGAAGAAAAGAAAAAAAAAAAAAAAGAAAAGAAAAAAGGGGAAAGAAAGGGAGGAAAAAAAUUGGAAGAAAGGAAAGAGGAGAAAGACGAAGAGUAAGUGGAAGAGGGAUGCAGCGACGGUGUGGGGUGAACAAAGAAAAUAAGAGAUGCGAAACGACGACGACGCCGCGGCGGAGAUGGUACAGGAAGAGGCGAAGAUGAAGCGAGACGGAACGACGACGAGGAAGAGGAGAAGAAAGGCGGCCGGCCUCGGGACCGACGGAGAUGCGAGAGUCCCGGGACUCCUGCAGCCAGAGAAGAGAAUAAAGGAAAAGCGAGAAAAAUGUGUCUAACGUGGCAGAGGCAAUUCUUCAGCCAGAGUUGCCGCCUUAAUGCUCGUUGGAGAAAGGCGAUUGGUUCUCGAGAAGAGCCCGUGGGAAAGAUGGCCGCCAUUUCCCUCCAACCACCCGUGCAAGUGUCCCCCCUCCUCCACCUACUCAUCUGCUCUCUGUUCCUCUUCCGUUGUCCGUGGCGGUGACCUACGGAAAGAAACCCCGUUCGUGGAAUAAAGGGGGAGAAACACGCUCCAAGACUCUUAUUCUUAUUAACUGUUUAAUCUUUCCACGUGACGUACGGCAGGCAUUAAGCGGCGCGCGGAUCUUGUUUAUAUUUCGUUGGAGCGCCACGAGGAUGCCGCAUCUUCGUUACACUGAAUCCAAGCAAAAGGUGUAGUCCCGGUCCGACGCCCCCCCGGUGUCCUCGCCCCCUGCGACUUUUUACUCGCCGGCCCUGGAUAGUUACGGUUGUAAUAAAACUCUCGGGGAAUUUCUAAGAACCAGUUACUUAUGGUUAAGGAAAAAAGAGAAAUCAAAGGUAUAGGGAUAAAAGAUUGUUAUACUUUAAUUUUGAUAGUCGAACGAAUUACUUGCUUUGCAUCGGAAUCCUAUUAAAAGACAUUUUUAUUGCGCGCCUUUGAGUGGGAAAAUCUUUCAGGAUAAACGUACAAAGGAUUACUCUGGAGGUAUUUUUGAGCUACCUCGAGAUACUUCUGGUCAAAGAAUAGGAACAAAAUAGUUGGAUUAGUUCGAUUUAAACAAAUUGUAGGUGUGUUUAGUAAAAUAUUAUAAGAAGCUUUUAUUGCACACGUUUGAGCGGGAAAAUCUUUCUGAAUAAACGUACAAACGAUUACUGUGGAGGUAUUUUUGAGCUACCUCGAGAUACUUCUGGUCAAAGAAUAGAAACAAAAUAGUUGGAUUAGUUCGAUUCGAACAGACUGUAGGUGUGUUUAGUAAAAUAUUAAAAGACAUUUUUAUUGCACACGUUUGGCUGGAAAACUCUUUCAGUAGAAAUAAUUACCGUGGAGGUAUUUUUGAGCUACCUUUAGAUACUUCUGGUCAAAGAAUAGAAACAAAAUAGUUGGAUUAGUUCGAUUCGAACAGACUGUAGGUGUGUUUAGUAAAAUAUUAAAAGAAAUUUUUAUUGCACAUGUUUGAAUGGGAAAAUCUUUCAGGAUAAACGUAGAAAUAAUUACCGUGGAGGUAUUUUUGAGCUACCUUUAGAUACUUCUGGUCAAAGAAUAGAAACAAGAUAGUUGGAUUAGUUCGAUUCGAACAAAUUGUAGGUGUGUUUAGUAAAAUAUUAAAAGAAAUUUUUAUUGCACACCUUUGAGUGGGAAAAUCUUUCAGGAUAAACGUAGAAAUAAUUACCGUGGAGGUAGCAUUUUUGAGCUACCUUUAGAUACUUCUGGUCAAAGAAUAAAAACAAAAUAGUUGGAUUAGUUCGAUUCGAACAAAUUGUAGGUAUGUUCAGUAAAAUAUUAAAAGAAAUUUUUAUUGCACACGUUUGGCUGGAAAACUUUUUCAGUAGAAAUAAUUACCGUGGAGGUAUUUUUGAGCUACCUUUAGAUACUUCUGGUCAAAGAAUAAAAACAAAAUAGUUGGAUUAGUUCGAUUCGCACAAAUUGUAUGCAUGUUUAGUAAAAUAUUAUAAGAAGCUUUUAUUGCACACGUUUGAGCGGGAAAAUAUUUCUGAAUAAACGUACAAACGAUUACUGUGGAGGUAUUUUUGAGCUAUCUCGAGAUACUUCUGGUCAAAGAAUGGAAACAAAAUAGUUGGAUUAGUUCGAUUAGAACAGAUUGUAGGCGUGUUUAGUAAAAUAUUAAAAGAAAUUUUUAUUGCACAUGUUUGAAUGGGAAAAUCUUUCAGGAUAAACGUAGAAAUAAUUACCGUGGAGGUAGCAUUUUUGAGCUACCUUUAGAUACUUUUGGUCAAAGAAUAGAAACAAGAUAGUUGGAUUGGUUCGAUUAGAACAGAUUAUAUGCAUGUUUAAUAAAAUAUUAAAAGAAAAGGAAAUAGAUAGGGGAGGGGAAAACUCUUCGAAGAUAGAUACGUAGAGAUCGUAGAGGAUGUAAAAGUAAAAGGUUCGAUAUGGAUACGGUUGGAUGGUGUCUGGACGGUGGUGGAAAAGAGUGACAAGACUAGGGGAGACGGUAGACGAGGGCGCAGCGAAGAUAGCGCUGAGUUACAUCUCUCAAUUAUUUGAUAAUGCCGGCGACACCGAGCCGAGGGGAGCUCGUUAGAACUUAAAAUGAGCUCUGGCCGUAAUCUUCUCAAUGUUUAUAGUUGCUUCGUAAAUCUCCGCGAAUCUCGGAGCGAGCAUCGCCGUAGCAACGUCGGCCAGGAACAAUAGAUGAUACAAAGUUCCCGAAGAGUGGCUCUCUUGGACCUCGUUUAAAAUUUUUAUGCCGCAGGCCAGGGCUUCGUCUCUCUCCUCUUCUUUCUAUGCUCGCUUUGCCUUUCUGUGAAAACUAUCCCGCGACUGUCUGACAGAGAGAGAGAGAGAGAGAGAGAGAGAGAGAGAGAGAGAGAGAGAAAGAAAGAGGAAACGGGAAAACGGCGUUCUCUAACUGCAUCUUAAUUAUCCUUCUUUUCUCUCUCGCAACGCCGGAUAAACGAAAGCCGGCAACGCGCUCACGAAUAUAUACGGCCGCCAUUAGCGGACAAGGGCCGAGAGAAUUCGUGUUUAUCGCUCUAUUAGAGGCUGCAGAGUGCGGUGGGUUUCGCGAUAAAUCCACUUUGACGCGGAUCGGCUCGUUACGAUCGCCUCUAACUCAACGCCUUUAUACUUUCCUCGCGCGUCCUCGCUAUCGGCUCGUAAAAUCCAGCGAAUCCGCGAACCUACGUCGAGACUUAGGUUUCGCAGCGUAAAAGCACGCGUAAAUUAUCUCGGUGCCGCGUGUACGUGAAAUCGAAUCGUCUCGAAGCAGUCGAUAGGAACUGGGAUCGCGACUAGGAUCGAACGAACGGCUCUAUCAACGAUGGUCGGGAUGAUCGUCGCCUCGAUUCUCAGCGAUCGUCGUGCUUCCAGUCGUUCGUAGCUCGUAAAUACAGCGGCGAUACCCUCCGUCGAGAGAACGAGAUCGGCAAGAAAGAAUUCGGCUUCUAACGGCGAAACAACGAGCCUGUCGUACAAACCUGUCCGUCCUCCCCGUCGUACGUUCUCUCGCGCGUUCUCUCGCACGACAGGGAAACAGAGACACGGAGCGAGAGCGAGAGAGGAGAGAGAAAGGGGAUGUAUCAGAAGCUCGGAGAAGAAGAGGGGAGGUUUUAGGUAAGAGAUAGGAUUAGUUGUUAACCGAGAGAAGGUACGGAGAGGUCAGAGGCUGGGUAUAUCUAGAUUAAGACGCGUUGGAGAAAGAGCAGGCAAGGUAGACAAAGGGGACAGGAUGGACAAAGGGUAGAGAGCGGAGAAAGGGAGGUCUCGGUCCCCUUUCGAGGUAAAGUGACGAACGACAUCACGGGACCUUGAAUGUCUUUUGCUUGUCCAUGGGUCUCGAUGAUCUUGCCGCUGUCGAGAAACGGGGUGGGGGUAGAAAGGAACAGGGACGAGUCAGAGGACAGAAAAGCAAAGGAGAGAAAGAAGGUAGAGUAUCGCGUGACGUACGAGCACAGGGACCACCCCUGGUGAUCAAAUCCCGCAUCUUCCACACGGUUUCACACAAAAAUCAUAUUUAUCUGCUCGCCUACCUGCGGCCAACGGCGCGUCGCUUUGUUCCACCUUUGCACAGGGGAAACGGACAGGAUCUCCUUCUUCUCUUUUAAUCUUAGACUAGCGGCCGUUAAGGCCGGACAGAGUAAUUGCCUCGCAAGCCCCGAGUUAUUGCAACGUAGAAACUCGCUCUCCGUUUAAAUCUCCUCGCUCGGCAUAUGAAUGUAUAACGAUCUCCAGCUACUGAUACAAAUUGCAUCGAGCGACGAUGUAACGUGGGAAUCCGCGCUUCUUCGAGUCUUCGACGAUCCAGGAAUCUUCGGUAUUUUAACCAGCUUUCCCUCCAUCUGCCUACUAACUGCGAUUUCUUUCGAACGAACAAACUUGUCUAUCGUCGGCGAUAUGAUCGAUGGCGGCGUUUUCCAAUCGGCCAAGUUUCAUUUUCUUGUCGAAAAUUAUCGUUCCUAUCCGGGAACUCGCUUAUCGUUUCCGUGGCAAUAGACGAAGGAAAUUCUGCGCGCGACGUAGCAGCCAGUUACCACGAGGGUAGCAGUUUAUCGCACGAAACGAGGAAACGAAGAAAAAUAAAGACAUCCAGCCUAUUACGAGCAACUCCUGAAACAAUAAUCGAUUGUUAUUGACACCCUAGCGGGCUGCAGAUCGAUAGAAAGUGCGGCUGGUACCCCCGACAACCACGAAACGUCGGUUACGUCACCGUUACUCCUUUUUAUUUACAAGUUUUCCUCCCUGCUCGGAUCUGGUAAUGGCGAUAGAUGUGUUGCGGGCGGAGGAGGGUCGAAAUAGACACGGGGGUGCCGCUAGACCGGGGCCGAUUCCUGCACGAGGGAAGACCGCCAUUCCCAUAACUCAAAUCCGACUCAAUUUCCCGGCAAGAAAGUUUGCUCGCCGUACGAAGCUCCGACGGUGCCACCAUCGGUCCUCGAUCGGUUUAUUAACCCACAUCUUUAUCGCCGAUUAUUGCCAUAGCCUGACUAUUCCUGGUACGCGUGAUCGCCACAGAAAUCUCCGCGUUCUUGCUCUUAGUUCCAAUUUAGUUAGUUUCGAUUAGUUUCGGGUUUACAAUUUAGCUCUGGUAGAGUAGUUUUUAAUAACAGUGGUUCUUUACGUUCCAAAUACUGCGGUUUCUUUAGACUUUCGGAUUGUUGGAAUGUAGUGGUUGAACUUGAGAUGCGGAAAUGGUGGCGAGAUAAUAUUAAGCGAACCCUUGGAAUUUCUUUCCAUAGCAACGAUGUUGGGAGGACAGCAUUCAAAUGCAUAUUGUAAAUGAAGUACGACGUUGGAUCUUAGCGUUAUACAAUGGUUAAGUGAUCAAGAAAAAAAAUAAAAUUGUUGAUUACAGUUCCCUGCGAUAGUAAUUGCUGCGAGUAAAUCUUUUACGUCGGAAUAAUCGUACAACAAUGAAAUACGACAACACAACGAUGAUAUGAUAAAUAGCGAGAGGAAAUAACAUUUAGAAAACAUAGAUGCGUAACUGCUCGACUGUGCCGUAUUGAGAAAUACAAUUUUGUUGAGGUAAUUUCAUACGGUUAAAUGUGGAAAAUAAUCUAGAAAAUAUCCUCGCCAUUGAACGAGAAAGAAGCGGAUCUUUCAAUUCUCUGCGACGUAAAAUUAUUCGAAGCGGGGUUCGAAUUGAAAUUCACCGAUGGGUCACGAGAUUCUCCACCCUUCGUGAAAAAUCAAAUCCGAAGGAAUUCCAGAAUGUUGACUUGGAACAGGGCAUAUUGCGCGGCAAUUAGCGGCGAGGGGAAAUGAGAAAUGCUAGCAAUGCUCGUGGCGCAUUAAGAGGGCUGUACGGAACGGCGUUCUAAUGAAUUAAGGGAAAUCAGAAAUUGCUUUAAAUAGCACCGUAAAAAUAAAGUUUAUUUAAAGAAGGGGAGGACGUCGAGGGGCGGAGAAAUCGGCGAGGGAAGAGGGUGUGGUGAAAAGAAAAAGAUAGAAGGAACGGCUGGAAGCUGUUCUAGUCAGAAGGGGUGCUAAGUCGGCGGCGGAACAUGUAGCACGGAAAUUGCCGAGAAACGCGUAUUAAAAUUGCUGGAUUUAGUAGGAAGAUAAGCCGCGACGGAGGAGAAGAACUCUCCUUUGCUCGUGCACCGUCGCAUUACCGUUGCCUCUUCGUCGUCGUUGUCCAAAGCUUGGAGAGGUUGAACCGCCUUGUCAUCCUCCGCCGUCGCACACGAUGACACUGGCGACUCUUCGUGGUUUCGACCUUUCGACACGCGCACCCUUCCGUUUGUCGUUUCCUCUUUCUUCCAUCUCUUCGUUCGAAGGCUCGGUUUCCUAUUUCUACGAUCGAAGACAGCGGAAAUAUGACGAGUCGAUGUUCGUCGAUUUUCUCAUCUCUGUAUCGUUAGACGUCUGAAAAGAAGAAUUUCGUGUGCAUUAACCUGAUAGAUUUUAAGACGCAAGCAUUUUGAAAACAGAGAACGAGUACGUGAUGUUUUGUAAGAAACGAAUGACGUUAGUUUAAUUGUAUUAUUUUAAUCUAGCAUGCGUAACUAACGUCGUUGAUAUGUUUCAGUGUUUUAGAAGAUAGAAAACGUUUAGAAAAAUGGUAGAUUCUUCGCGUGAAUUCGAUUGCCGUCACGCUUUUUACGUUUUUCUCCUGUAAAUGCCAGGAAAUCUGACUUAUCGUGUUUUUUAUCUGUAGCCUUGAAUAAUUGCCUCGAUACCUAUAGUUCCCAGUGUAAUCUGAGACAUAUACAUGGAAAACCUAGAAAAUAGCGCUUAAUAUUAUUUUCAAACACAGAAAAUAGUGGCGAUAUCGUUCUAAAACGUAAAUGAUAUCGUCCACGUUAUUCCGCAACACCGAAGUAAGGAAGGAAACGCUAGUGAAAAUGAACCCAUUUCCCCACGAGUCCUUUACCCUUUAUUAUACAAGAUGUCAGUCAAUUAUUUUCUAUAUAACGGUGUUAGAAACACUUCUCAUGGAUAAAGACGGUGAACAAAGCCCAUGGGACGAACUACUCAAGGUUUCACAUACAUUGUCUUUGCGUGAACCUGCGAUAAAAAUAGACGCGUAGCUUGCUAGACAAAUUCAAGUAUCUGUCGCUUGUGUAACUAUUAUUUCUGUAGCGCCAGUCUAUUUCGUUGGAAAUGCUCGUAGUUCGUAGACGGUGCUUGGUAGAUCGAUAGUUCGAGGAGCAUUAAAGCUGUGCUCUUCACCGGCCCCUGCCGCAUAUGUAACACCGCAAGCUGUUGUGCCAGCGAGGUAAACGUUUCUAGAGCCCUUCAUCGGAAUUCUGCUAUUUGCUCGUCGAACGAAAGUUACAGCUUGGCUUAUGGUUUUCUAAUUACCUUCCAAGUGCAUAAAUACACCGCUAAAAGGCUGCGAUAACUGCGUCAAUAGGCAAGAAAUCCCGAUACUCGUCUGUUCCGUCCUAUUAUUCCUUGUGAAACAUCGAAGCGAUCGAGAAGUACUUCGGCUACCGAUUCGUCGAACGACCCAGUCGAUCUCUGAAAAAGGUAAUAAACGAAGAUUAAAAAGAAAACAGGUGGUCCGAAAUUCGGCGUCGAAAAUGACGAAAACUGGUUGGCCGGACUCGCUGGCUUUCUUUUGGCCGAUUCAGGCUACACGUAUCUUCCUCGGUCGUUAUAUUGUUUUCCCGUCUUCGAAUCAACAAGGAGACGGUCGGUGCGGUGCUGUGUAGCUAUAUGUACGUCGUAUAGCCUCAUCGGAGGCAAUAAUCCAGCGGGGGAAUCCCCCUUACACCGCCGUGCCCACUCAAACGGUCGUAGACCGCGCUUUUAUGUGGUCGUAAAAGCGCAGUAACAAUUAAUAAGUAUCUCGUAAAAGCGAUUGUCGUUGACACCUUUUUGAAUGACAGGGGCGGGAAAGAAGAAGCGAGGAGCAAACAGAGAAUGAGUGUAUGUGAAAGAGAAAGUAAGUAAGAGAGAGAGAAAAGCGACUACCGAAAGAUCGAAAAAGAGAAGAAGAGCAAAGACUCUGUCGACGAGACUCUCUCUUCUCUUGUGUGUACAGGUGGACGGCGUAAAAUAGGUGGCUUCGUGAUUGGCUAUAAAUUUCACUUACGUUGAAGUGGUUGCUUUUAAUCAGGCAGUUAUGCGCACUGCCGUACCAGCUACCUAUCGGACAUCUGACGUUUUAAUGUCCCGUGUCUCAUAGCCAGCUUGCCGACGCUGAGGCGUUCCACGAUCUGCGAAACCACGCGGCCGAAUAAACGCGUUUUACGAUUUCGUCUGUCGCCUCCUCCGGUCAACCGAGACCGAGCGUGCGGCUCUCUGUCCAUCCCCGCUUUGAUUUCGGUCGAUGAUAGGCUUGGUCCGUGGUAUAAUACAACUGGAGUCGUACGGAUCUUCCUCCGGUCGGAUUUUUAGGUGAAGUCAUCCACGCUUGUCGAGAAGGUCGUUCGUGUGGAUCGUUAUCGAGCGAUUCGAUCGAGCCUUUUCGUGGCUGAUUUAUCGCGCCUCGCAAUUCCUCCGCCUCUAAAUGAUUGUAAACUCUGUUUCCAAGCCGUGGACGUCGCUACUUGUAAUAUACGACGCUGUUACACCCACGGUAAAUUUUUUUCUAAAUUGGAUGCGCUGUUCUAGGAAAUUUUUUAUGGGAAAGCAGGAUGGUGAAUUAUUGGCGGGUCGAUUCAGAUAGAUUUUAAAUACGUCGUGACACGACGAACGGCUAAUUUCGUUCCGUUAAUCUCGCACGGCGUCUAUGAACGUUCGACCAUUUCCUCGGCAAACGGAUUUAACGGAAGACAGAGCGCGGUUAAAUGUACGCGACGCGCAACAAAUACAAUUCUCGGCGGUGGCGGCGGCGGCGGCGGCGGGCGUUGCGGCAUUUCGCACGGCUUGCGAAAGAGCGCGAGAGAGCGGACUAGAUAAUAACGCGCGAACCGGAUAUAGGGAAACGGUAGCCGCAAAGCCACGGUCAGGUUCGCGUCGUUGCCUUAAUUAAGUUACACGCCGCUCGCAUUGUUCCGAGCGUAUAAACGUCACUGUAAAAGAGGGGAGAAUGAUAUUAAUUAGUUUCAAUACCCGGUUCCUCCCGUUGGAAACAACGCCGCGAGUUUCACUCGUAUUUUUCGCCAGAUAUACUCUGCCACUCGAUUCUCGUUUCUUGUUUCCGAUGCCGGGAACGAAAGAAGAGGAGAAGACGAGAUAAAAUAAAAGCGUCUUCGAGCCGUGCCGAAAGGCGGCGUCUAACCGAGGUUACGCCACCCCCGGAUCGAUUUUUCGAAUAUUUUUAACGACACAGGCUGCGGCUGGCAAACUAAGCCGGCCUCGUAAACAUAAUUUUUAAUUAUUGUUAACGCCUUUCAAUACGCUGCGUGGAAAUCGCGUAAAAUAUUAGCAGGGAACCGACUGCUGGAAAUUUCGAAAUAUUUACAAAGAUAAGAACCGCGAAUGGCGCGCAAUUAUGGACAAUCGAUUAACGGAACAUUAACGAGCCAAAUGAUUUUCGUUGAUUCUCGUUUUUAUGCCGGAAUAACGAACACUCGGCCCACCCGCGUGCGCACCCUCUGCGGUAUUACGCUUUAUCGUUUUCAUCCCUGCGAUUUCGUCGGCUCGAGUAGCACGCUCCAUCGUUGUCUCUUUUAUUGCUAGGAAUUACAUAUUUAUAAGACUUUCGCAACAUAUACUUUUGAAUUCCGUCCUUGGUUUAGCAAUACUGUAUAAAUGAAAUAGAAAUUCUGUUAAAAAAGGAGAAUAUAAUUAUUAGACAUGGUUAUAUACUUUAAGGGCGUUCAACGAAACUUUUUAAUGUCCGUUCGUUCCUGUGCAUGCAUAUCGGAACACUUGCAGAGACUGGGAUAAGCCUCGAACAAUGUCAGGAAGUUGUUAAAACCUUUGAGAAAUAUCAUUUCGUUCACAUUAAUUGAAUUAAAUUAAAAGAGGCGAAUAUUUCAUAUUACGAGGUACGGCAUAUCGUUUCUGCAGCUUCUUACGUCGCUUAUUUCUCUGUAGGAACGCACGAUUUUCACCGAUCGAUCGUUUUCUUGACGAUUAGAAGCAAUGGUCGCUUCUUGUACAGAACCGCGUCUAGAAACGAAUGUUUCAUAUUACGAGAUACAACGUAUGAUUUUUACAGCUUCUUACGUCGCUUAUUUCUCUGUAGGAACGCACGAUUUUCACCGAUCGAUCGUUUUCUUGGCAAUUAAAAGCCAUAGCCGGUUCUUGUAUAGAAGAUCGAUUUAAUGUCAAUUUUCGUUAUCGAACGAUCCCAAAAGAAAUGCGAUAAAUCCGCGGCAGAAACUACUGCGCCGUGUCCGAGUUCCUAAGGAGCAAUUAGAUCAAUUCCCGGCAAUUAAUUAGCCGGCAACGAUUCUCGAUCGACUUAAGAGGCGUUCAACGUCGACGUUUGCUAAGCAUAAACGAGGUGCGUAUAGAAACCGGAGGGACGAGGAACGUACGGGUGGCCCUAAGCCAGCUUUCUCCUCUGGUCGAAGGCUACGCAGAGGGGUUGAAAAGACGCGGAGGCGAAGAGGAGAGGGCGGAGGGCAGAGCAAUAGCCUUUACGACUCACCCAUAGUAUCAAACGAUCUAUCCAACCAUUAAGAUAGUCUCGAAACGAUUCGGUAACCUUUGGGUCCGUGGAAAGCGAUACGCUAUCAAGUCGGUAGCCCGGUCGCGGCAUUUCGUGAACGUAUAGGAAAACCGCCCUUUUGCCUCUUGUCGUCCGUCCUUUCACCCAGCGCCAUUUUGUCUUCUUCGUUGCAUGCCAGCACGCCGAUAGCAUUACUUACUGCCACUCACCACGAUAGACUCACCUCUAUCUCGCUCGCAAUUCGAUCGUAUCGUGUGAUUCUCGGUUCCCAACUCCUUCCGAUUCCUCCGAUUCCUUUCCAAUUCGUCAACGCCAUCACGAGCCAUUUAUCGACGCCCUUUCUUCAUUUCCUUCCCCGUGGUAAUUGCCUGUCGAUAUCCUGUAAACGACAUGGCCAAGAUCCUCCAGGAAUUUUCAAACGGACGAACGAGGCACGAUUUUUCCGUUCCGUUUGAGAUUGAGGGGAAUCCUAGCGUAUUCGGAGUCGGUGGAAGUUGGUGUUUAUAGAAUACGUUAGAUAACGAAAAUUACAAUUAAACACCUUGGGUGACUCUGGCCACCCAUUCGCAAAGAUUUCGUUUCCUCGGCAAACGUUGAUCAGGGGAAUCAAUGUGGCCGCUAUCAGAUCGAGACUAAUACUACAACAGAUAAUGGUGCUUCCGUGUGCCCAACUGCUGCCUCUUCGCCCCAUUACUACACCGACACGGUACCCGUGUCUGAACGAAGGAAAUAGACGUUUACCACUCAUCGCCCUUCCGAGCACCCUAUUUUACAAACCUUUUCGAAAAUACUUCCAGCAGAAUGAUAUUGAGGUCGGAACGAUCUCUCAAAGCUUGCAACUCCAUCCAUUCCUUAAUAACCUACGAUAACGAAGACCUUAGGAACCUCGUCGUUCCUCGCCGCAACAAGCUCGCGUAAAGCAAAGAAGAAAAGUAAAAAGAGAGGGACAAAUCCAUUGGGCGAUUCGAGUGGCAGUCUUGAUCAAGGGUAUUUAACGAAACGCAAGAAAACCGUGCAAUUGGAAACUAGAAACGGCCGGUUAAAAUAUAAAACGCAAUAAGGGUGCUGGGAGAAAGAGGGUGGAAUAGAAAGAGAAAGAAAGAGGGAAAGAGAGUCGGCGGUAAAAAGACGCCGGUUUAAGUGUGUGGGUGUCAUGCAUAUACAUCGAAGGGAAUAGAGAGCGUCAUGCGCCGGGGGUGGAAGUGGGGACGGGGCUUGCGCGCCAGCAUUGCCGGAAGCCCCAUGUUUGACGGGGGGUUUUCCCCCGGCAUGGGAAAGGGGGGAUGGUUGGGUGAGUUUCUAGGAUGGUUUCAGUGCAGAGAAGGGGUGGAAUGGAAUGGAAUGGAGUCUACGGUAGUGGCCGUAGGGCGGCAAGGGGGUUGCCGAGGGGCCGAGGGGUCCGGAGAUUGAUAACGCAAUUCCAAGACUGCCAUUACCCCCGUCCACCGAACUCGCUCCGGCGCUUCUAUCUUUUUUGCUUCUCCACCUCCCUCUUGCUUCGGCCCUCUUCCCUCCUGUCCUCGUGCGCGCUCCUCUUUCAGCCGGAGCCGGGCAACCGGCGAGUUUUAGAAAUGUUAACUCCAUAAAUGCCACGCCGUUCCUUUUUUCUUUUCCGAAAGAAACUGCCAGGGGAGAAAGGUGAAGGGGACCGUGGUCCGACACGCACCGCCUCGCUUAUGGCGAAUAAAAGGGAUUAGGUUACGAGAGAGUCGCGAGUGGCCGCGAGCUAACGCGAAAAACUGGUCCCCUCGAUGGUUCAAGAUGGAAAAUUUCUUGUUCUUACAUUUAACGCGAAGUAUAUGCGAAGGUUUUUAUUUGGAGGAAUUUAUUUCAUCCGAAGGAUUAACAGUAUUUGUCUGUUUCACCGUGGCACGUUGUUCGACAGUGGAAAGUCGAUUCUUUCGAAUUUGCUUGACCCGAAGGAUUAAUAGUUUUAUUUUGUUCGAUCGUGGCCAUGGUUGAUAAUGUUGUUGUAUGGAAGGAGGGACGGUUUCGUGGGUUUCGUACGGAAGUUGGAAACGUUGGGAAGCGGGGCGGUCGUUGGAAAAAGCCGGGUUGAUCUUAAUUCUAAAGACGAAAGGGGAAUACCUGCGCAAGAGGUCGAGGAGUCACGGAGAUUGAUAAUCCAAUUUCAAGACUCCCAUUAUCUCCGCCCACUAGCUCGCUCCAGACCUUCCAGAUCCUUCGAGUUUCUUUCAGGAUUCUCCUUGCUUUUGACUUUUUCCUUCUAUAAGAGUUGAUGAAUUUUAUGAAUGGUUUCCUCCAUUAUUCGCCGCGUAGAUGGCCCAAGAAAUGGAACGUUCGAUCGAAGAUUCUUCGGGAAAUUUCACUGAAACCGUCGUUACGUUAAAUGCUUUACAAAUACGACUUUAAUCGUUGACCUAAAUAAUUUUCAAUUUCAACUUUUUACGACGAUUUAUCUGCGAUAUCGACCAAAGGGGAUUAAACGUCCAAAGUAUAUUAAAACGUCCUAUCGCUAACUGCAACGCUCGGCAAUAAUAGCAAUAAAAAAUAGAAAAAAGAAGAAGAAAGAAUUAUGCAGCACGCGAAGGUGUGAUAUUUGCGUUUAAAAAUUGUAAACAAUUUUCCGACGGGAUAUCUUUCACGCGGAAUGCUAUUUUCUCCAGGUUACUGGCUGUUUGCCGUCGGCGGCCACUGUCUGCGUUAUCCCCCCGCCCCUCCAGGCCAGUAUUUCCUCGGUAGAAAAGCUCGUGUUCUCGCCACGCUUCGGACAAAUCCUGCCAGGGAAGUUUUAGCAGGCGAUACAUUUUUUGUACCGAAAGCAAAUCCGUAGACGAGGUUGGAGGUCCACCGGGUCAAAAGAACGAUCUUUCCUAAACGUACCGUUACCGCGAUAAUUGUGCGAGCGAAACUUUCUCGUAGACCUUGUUUAUUCGUCUCUCGUUCAGCUUCGCGACUGUCUUUUUGGUUGAUUAUAAGGACAGGUUUUAUUUUUAAAAUAUUUCUUUUUUAUUUAUUAAAAUUUGCAAUCGAUUCUCGCAUUGAGAAUUUUCAGUAAUUUUUUCUGGCGUGGCGCAGCGACAUGGCUAAUUAUUUAUAGUAGGUUAAUACUUGUUGAAGUGGUCAGCACUCUUAAGAAAACUCUACAUCUGGUCUUUUUGGUUUUCUCGAGCACCGAAGCCAUCGACAGCGCGUAGACAAAAGACCGUGACGAAGACAGACCAUAAACGGUAGACAGGCGCGUUGGCUUCGGAGUUUUCAGUUAUCGGGUAACACAGCUAGCGCGCGGAUCUGCACCAGCUCAAAUUGUAUUCUUACUUAUAAUUACACUUCUAACUAAAUAUAUUUCCUGCCUUACAAUUUAUCCACGAGUUUUCUCUGUCUACACGUCGAAUAACCUCAACGAUACUUAUUACAGAUACGUAUAAUUUAUAAGUAAGUAUCAUAAAUAAGUAAAAAUGACUUAAUUUGGAUAACUAAUUGAAUCUAGCGUUUGGGUCUAGCGGGUAGUGUCUCUUCAGCCUGCGGAUCUGAUCCGACGUAUCAAGUAGUCCAGUAAUUAGGGGGCUUCGAUGUUUCUUGACUCUUUUGCUACAUCUGUCGCUAUAUUUUGCUAUUUUCUCUUUGACUGUGGGUAUCCUGAGGUCGCGAUGAAUUAGUUCGUUGGCGACAUACCAGGGUGCAUUUAUAAUACAUCUUAGCGUUUUCGAUUGGAGGCGUCGAAGUAUUUCAAUGUUGGAGUUACUUGCUGUUCCCCAUAUUUGGAUUCCGUAGGUCAAGACAGGUUUUAUCACGGUCUUAUUAGAGGGUAAUUUUAUUCUGUGUGCUUAGUUUGGAGCGUCGGUCAGUUUGAAAAUAUAUCGCAAAACGAAUAGAACUUCGGGGGUUAAUUUUAUAGGUAACAUUAUUGGAAAUAUAAAAUACCUAUGAAAAUAUUAUAAAUAAAAAUUACGUACAAUUUGUAUCUAUCUAUUCUCAGUCAGAAGAAUUGGAAGCAAGCUACGGUUCAAGAUACACUUAGAAAUAUAGUCUGCCUUUAUUGAAGCAAAUAAUAAUUCGUUCGGCGAGUGCGACUCGAUAUUACGAGCGAAAAGAUCAAAUGUUGAUCGAUUAUGCGAGUUUCGUUGUCUCUUCAUACCGCUAACGAAACAAUUCUAUCGUCGAAUGUUAAAAUAUAGUCGUCAAAGGAGAAAUAUUUGCAUUAUUGUCCCACCACGUUCUACGGAUUAGGAGAAACGGGGAAAAACGCGAUUCGGGAGCAACUCGACAACAAAAAUCCGAGAAAAUGAAUAAGUGGAAAGACGGGGAAGUUUAGCUGGAACGGUGGAGCAUUGAGUAGAAAAUAGGAAAGUGUUAAUCCAACCGAGCAACUUUGCCCCCUGUAGGGAACUUGCACGCUUAUGCCGAGAGGAUUUCCAUCCAAUAAAUUUGGAGCUUUGUAUAAGCUUUCCACGCUUGAGUUUAAAUCCCGGCGUCGGUGCGGGCUUACGCUUUGCUGUGUGGAGAUACCUAUAUAUCUGUAAAGAGGGAAACCCUCUUUCCCUCUGCUUGCCGCCAGACGAUUUCAAAAAGACGUGCGAAAAUUAUUGAAUACUUUGAGAAAGCUCGCGCACGUUACAGUUCCGUGGCCGUUAGUUACCAUAAGCCUCUAAAAAUAUUAAAUCGAUACUUUGCCCGUGCUUUCUCGCGAUUUUUGUCCCACCAUUUUUCCACUAAAUGUGUCCGGAUACCGUUACGAAAUUCGAAUUACGUGUUCCAUAUUUCAUCAGUUCGGACCAACCCCGUUUCCAUUUCCUUGCGAUUAUACCGCGCUCGUUGAUACAUUUACGAAGAAUCUGACGAUGCAAAGACAGUACAGGAUGCGCUGAAUAUACAGGGUGGUUGGUAACUGCCGGUACAAGCGGAAAGGGGGUGAAUAAACUUUUUUUUUUUCUAAUUUUUCCAUCGAGACGUUAUAACGAGACGCGAUAAAGUGCAGGCGUACCGAGCGAAAAUUCAAAGUCGAUUUUCUCGAAGACAAAGCCUCGAACGAACAAUUUGUAUUGUAUAUUUCCCACUUGUUUUUCCGCCUAGAAUCGCCUCCUUUCCGCUUGUACCACCAGUUACCAACCACCCUGUAUAAAAAUAUAGAAAAUAUCCAAAGUAUGGUAUCUGUUGUAAGAUUUAGGGGAUGAAACGAAUCUGCAAGUUCUAUUCUCUACGCGCAACGUGCUGUAACGAUGAAAAGACUAAGAAAACAAAGGAAUAAAAGUUUGAACGAAACAAGCAGGAUGAGAUUUUGGUAGGGUUGCUGCAACGAAAUCCAGAGAAGGACACGGAAACGGAGAUUUCGGAGUUGUUCGAAUGGUCGUUUACAUAUUCUCAAAACGGCAUCCUCUGCUUCGUAAGGGCGCAAUAAGGGUUAAUAUGUAUCUGAGGGGACGUUACAAGAGUUGGUUUUAUCGUGUCCCUCUUGUCCUUUCUCUUCCUCUUUCUCGCCCGCAGGCUUAAGAUUAGAAACUUUUUAUAUGAACUCACGUGCCUGCUACCCCCGGUGAUGGUCACCUUCAACCCCUCGUGCGCUUUAACUAAAUUGCCCCGACGUGACAGAUGUAAAAUGUUUUAUUGCAACCGAGUACCCUCUUCUUAUUUCACUUCGUUCUCCGGAGGAUCUCGAAUCUCUCCCGGACAGAGAAUUCUCGCAUACGGAAUGAGAUAGCCUCUCUCGCCAAGGAAUUAUGCGACAGCCGCGUAUUAUGCGUUACACGAUCUUACAUCGCCAAGUUCGGUUUAUGACCGGCAGAUCACGCGAAACCUGAGCGAGCAAGGCGAAUAACUCAGCGCAAUGCAAAAUUACUUUCUUUUCCCAAACAUAUAUAUUUAAUUAUAUCGAAGAUAUCCACGUACUAUGGCCGAUUUACAAUAUGUAUAGUGAGAUUUCCGUGUCCGUGAACAUAGGUUACGAAGUUCAUCGCUGAUAGAUGAAGCUGCGGACAGCGAUCCAAGUUAUACGCGUACUUACAUAUGGUGGAAUUUACUUUGUUAAACAUCGAAGAAGAUAACUAGUUGUAGGAUAAACCGAUGAAAAUGUACUAAUAAAAGACAGACGAUAAUAAUACGAUUCGUAUAAGAGAUUCUAAGUAUAGUUAGUUUUAUACAAUAUACUUGCAAGAUGAAAUAAAUUCCUAUUGUACCCAUGAAAAUAUAAAUUUGCAUAAACAUCCACAGCCAGAGAGUAACGUGACAUCUGUCUAGAAACAACAUUGCCUUUCGAGAAUCCUUAAUCGUUGCCUCAGACUGUCACCGGGUACGUGAAAUUUACCGUAUCACCGAAGGAAAGUACUUAUCCGAGAUAUCACUUUCUAUUCGAAACGCGGAGAUUCAUUGGAUAUGAAAGGCAUUUCGAACUCUAUUCAAACUUGAGGCCAUUCGAUGGGUAGUUCGUAUUAGGACUGCGCGAAUAUCGUCCCUUACGAAGGUACAGACGCCGAGACGUUGAAGAAAGGUUGCGAUCGAAGGCCGUAAGAUCAGCGAACGUAUGUAAACAAGGGAUCGAAUAUAGUCGGGAAACAGAGCGCGAGUAGCUGCGGCGAAUUCCCAUGCGGGAGUAAGAUAUUGGUUUUCAUCCGGCUCGUUUCAGUGCUCGUAACGUUUGAUAAAAAUGCGUGUUACGCGUUCCAGACGAGACCCGGCUCGGACCGAAAGGCCGUCCAGGGAAUCGUACGCGAAGAGAUCACGAGAAUUCGCCCUCUGACUGCUCCCUCUUCAGGUAUUUGCGCGUAAGAGGGUGACGGCUCAGGUCUAGCCCUAUAAAUACCAAUACGCGAUGAUAUCGCUUUCAUAGGCAGAUUUUUAGGACACCGCGCGAAGCAACUGCUCGCCCUUCCUUAUAUUUAGGUGUUGUUAUCGUCAGAGAUUAUCGCCAAAGAUACGGUUUAUUCUUCGCUGAUAUUUCAGAAAACGUUGCGUACUUGUCCGAGAAUUCGUGGGUUCUUUUCUUCUUAUUUACGAGUACUUUGCAAUUUUGAGUAAGUUUCUCUGGCGUGACGCAGUGACAUGGUUAAUUAUUUAUAACAAGUUAAUACAGUUAUUAUACACUUAUAAGUAAGCGUAAUUUACAAAUAAGUAUGAUUUAUAAAUAAUAAUAGUAGAAAUACGUAGA
Long non-coding RNA from Bombus huntii, 18459 nucleotides. RefSeq lists it as uncharacterized. Lineage: Eukaryota; Metazoa; Arthropoda; Insecta; Hymenoptera; Apidae. The record is from RefSeq and is a predicted model, not a curated record. The transcript has 6 exons.